RNAcentral lists this ribosomal RNA (445 nucleotides) under uncultured bacterium. Its description in RNAcentral is "partial 16S ribosomal RNA". It matches the Rfam family "Bacterial small subunit ribosomal RNA", at positions 354 to 796 of the family's 1533-position model. The record is from RNAcentral.
GUGAGGAAUAUUGGUCAAUGGGCGGGAGCCUGAACCAGCCAAGUCGCGUGAAGGAAGAAGGAUCUAUGGUUCGUAAACUUCUUUUGCAGGGGAAUAAAGUGCAGGACGUGUCCUGUUUUGUAUGUACCCUGAGAAUAAGGAUCAGCUAACUCCGUGCCAGCAGCCGCGGUAAUACGGAGGAUCCGAGCGUUAUCCGGAUUUAUUGGGUUUAAAGGGUGCGUAGGUGGUUUGAUAAGUCAGCGGUGAAAGUUUGCAGCUUAACUGUAAAAAUGCCGUUGAAACUGUCGGACUUGAGUGUAAAUGAGGUAGGCGGAAUGCGUGGUGUAGCGGUGAAAUGCAUAGAUAUCACGCAGAACUCCGAUUGCGAAGGCAGCUUACUAAGCUACAACUGACACUGAAGCACGAAAGCGUGGGGAUCAAACAGGAUUAGAAACCCCGGUAGUCC